AAGAAAAAUAGAAAGGAGUUGAAGGAAAUAAGUUUAAAGAUAAUCCUGAUAUUCUACCGGCGGGACGUCAGUAGGAUUUUCUCCGGUGUCUGCUUUUGACUUUUGUUUGCUUCGAGUCAGGCUUAUAGCUUGAUAGCAGGUCACUUUUGUUGGACCUUCAG
This is a long non-coding RNA of Populus euphratica (Euphrates poplar), 161 nucleotides long. RefSeq lists it as uncharacterized. The record is from RefSeq and is a predicted model, not a curated record. NCBI's taxonomy places the organism in Eukaryota, Viridiplantae, Streptophyta, Magnoliopsida, Malpighiales, Salicaceae. The transcript has 3 exons.